AUUGAACGCUGGCGGGAGGCUUUACACAUGCAAGUCGAACGAGUGGCGGACGGGUGAGUACUAUAUCGGAACGUGCCCAGUAGCGGGGGAUAACUACUCGAAAGAUUGGCUAAUACCGCAUACUAUUGGAUCAGCCCAUAUCGGAUUAGCUAGUUGGUGGGGUAACGGCUCACCAAGGCAACGAUCCGUAGCUGGUUUGAGAGGAUGCCCAGCCACACGGGGACUGAGACACGGCCCAGACUCCUACGGGAGGCAGCAGUGGGGAAUAUUGGACAAUGGGGGAAACCCUGAUCCAGCCAUCCCGCGUGUAUGAGAAGGCCUUCGGGUUGUAAAGUACUUUUGGCAGAGAAGCGGUAUCCGCAGAAUAAGCACCGGCUAACUACGUGCCAGCAGCCGCGGUAAUAC
Molecule: ribosomal RNA, 405 nt
Filed under: uncultured bacterium
Lineage: Bacteria
Description: partial 16S ribosomal RNA
Rfam family: Bacterial small subunit ribosomal RNA
Source: RNAcentral